GCUAAUCUGCGAUAAGCGUCGGUAAGGUGAUAUGAACCGUUAUAACCGGCGAUUUCCGAAUGGGGAAACCCAGUGUGUUUCGACACACUAUCAUUAACUGAAUCCAUAGGUUAAUGAGGCGAACCGGGGGAACUGAAACAUCUAAGUACCCCGAGGAAAAGAAAUCAACCGAGAUUCCCCCAGUAGCGGCGAGCGAACGGGGAGCAGCCCAGAGCCUGAAUCAGUGUGUGUGUUAGUGGAAGCGUCUGGAAAGGCGCGCGAUACAGGGUGACAGCCCCGUACACAAAAAUACACAUAUUGUGAGCUCGAUGAGUAGGGCGGGACACGUGGUAUCCUGUCUGAAUAUGGGGGGACCAUCCUCCAAGGCUAAAUACUCCUGACUGACCGAUAGUGAACCAGUACCGUGAGGGAAAGGCGAAAAGAACCCCGG
RNAcentral lists this ribosomal RNA (430 nucleotides) under Shigella sonnei. RNAcentral describes it as "partial 23S ribosomal RNA". It matches the Rfam family "Bacterial large subunit ribosomal RNA", at positions 60 to 529 of the family's 2925-position model. The record is from RNAcentral. Lineage: Bacteria; Pseudomonadati; Pseudomonadota; Gammaproteobacteria; Enterobacterales; Enterobacteriaceae.